This 2766-nucleotide long non-coding RNA is filed under the name Marmota monax (woodchuck). The record is from RNAcentral. Lineage: Eukaryota; Metazoa; Chordata; Mammalia; Rodentia; Sciuridae.
GAGAUCUAGUAUUGUUUCCUGCUAAUUCUGCAGGUAGGCGUGGAUUUUCCACAAACAAAAGUCACAGAUGUUCACCCAGUUAGGAAUUGCCAUGGAUUCCAGUAUCAGCCCUCUCCAGACCCUGCAGGUCCCAAACACUUAAUAAAACAAAACAGGCCAGAGAUCAAGUAUCAGAGUGAAAGAGGAAAGCAAAGUGAACUGGAGGAAUCAUUCCUAGUCUCCACCCCAAUGAUUUAGGUUUUCAGGUGAGCCCAGGAUCUGUCUUUUUAAUUUGGGGGGAUGCUUCUGCUGCAGCAAGACUUGGGAGGCUGUGGCCUGAAUGACCCAUAAACUGGAAAAUUGGCUCCUGUAUCCCAGGUGGCUUUACUUUAAAGAAUAAAGUAAGCAGAUGGUUAGGCCCACAGAAAGGUGGAAAGAACCCUUCCAAGGACCCAGCAGCCCUGAGUUUCAUACCCUCACUGCACAGUGUUAACCAGUCAUUAAUCCCUAUGACCUCAGUUUUCUUAUCUCUGACAUAAGAAAAUUGAACAACCUAAUCUCUUAUUGUUUCCUAUUAUGAAUUUAUCUGAUUCUGUGAGACCUGAAUUUCUUAUUCUUCAGUGAGGGUAAUGAUAUUUUGAAAGGGCUUGGGAUCAGUCCCCAGAGAAAAGAGUUGUGAAAUUUUUAGCAUCUCCUCCUGAUUUCAUGAAUUUGACAAGACCUUUCAUCUAGUUCUCUCAUCUUUCUUCCCCUCUGCUAUUCAAGGGAUCUCUGACCUAGAGGCAGUUCCCUCUCUGCUCAGCUCUCAGAAAUCUCUCCUCUGACUGUUCUUACUGACUGUCCCUAGAAACUUGGAAUCAUAGGUUUCAAACCUGGCAGGGUAUUAGGGUCACUUGGGAAACUUUUAUAAAAUCCUGGUGCCCCAAACAAUUGAAUCAAAUUCUUGUUGGGGGAGGAGGCUUAGGCAUCUGUGGAUUAUUGUUGUUAUUGUUAGUUAGUUAGUUAUUUGUUUGACUCUAGACAGGAACUGGCUAAGUUGCCUGGCUGGUCUUGUACUUGUGAUCUGCCUGCCUCAGCCUCCCAGAGAGCUGGGAUUAGGGCAGGGAAUGGUGGUUGGCACAAGAAACUUGGAGCUACUGAGCAGGGAAAUCUCAGAGCUGGGUUUCCAGGUUCCUCUUCACCCAAGUAAAGGCAGCAAGUCUGAAGGAUUGAGUUUUCUGCAUUCACAGGUCUUUUUUGCUGUGGCCUACUGCCAACGGUUUAGAUACAUCAGAUCAAUUUUUUACAGGACCAAGCAUCAAAAUUACUGAAGUGAAAGGAAAAGCCAAGCCAAGUGGCACCACCAUAUACUUACUAGUUGACCUAAGUGAAGUCUUAUUAGACUUCUGAUUUGCAACGUGAGGCUGGCAUUUCUCUUCUACCAUAUAGUGUGGUUAGGUGGAUCUAAUGAGAUAACAUAUGUGAGUUUGUUCUGUAAAAUAUAAAAUUCUAUGCAAAUUGAAUGGACUUAAGUACUUUAUAUGUAAAAAGAAUUUCCAUAUUUAAAAAAUGAUAUCAAUUAUUUACAAAUUAAUCUAUAGAUUAAAAGUAACACCAAACCCAAUUAAAAUCCCAGAAGCUUUUUUAUAGAAAUUAACAAGAUGAUUCUAUAAUUUACAUGAAGACUCAAAGGACCUAGAAUAGCAGAAUAGUUCUAAAAAGGCUGUAAAAACUUGAAAUAUAUUUCCUGAUUGCAAAGCAAGAGUGCUCAAGAUAGUGUGGUAUCAGUGCAAAGAUAAGAUAUGGUUCAGUAAAAUAGAAUAGUAGAUCUAAAAAUCAGUUCAUAUACAUAUGACCAAUCGAUUUUUGACAAAGUUGCUAAGGCAAUUCAAUGGCAAAAGAAUUUUUUCAACAAAUGGAACAAAGACAUAAAUAAAAGAGCUGUAACUAUAGAACUACUAGAAGAAAACAGAACAAUCUUAGGGUAAGACCUUGGGUUAAGAAAUAACUUAUUAAGUGGCAUACAAAGUGCAAAAAGUAAUAAAUUAGAUUUUACCAAAAUUAAAAACUUCUGUUCUUCCCAAAUAGUGCUAAAAUAUCAAAAUGUAAGCCAUGGACUGUGAGAAAGUAUUUACAAAACACAUAUCUGACAAAGGAAUUUUAUUUGUAUUAUAUAAUGAAUGCUUACAAUUCAAUAUAAAAACUCAACUUUUAAAAACUGAGCAAAAGACUAAAAAUAUACUUUACCAACAAAGAAAUAUGUACAGCAAAUGCAUACGUGAAAAGAUGUUCACCAUCGUUAGUCACAUACCAUUGCACAUCUACUGGAAUAGCUAAGAUUAAAGUGACUGACAAGUAAUGGAAUCUGAAUUUCCUGUGCAUUGAUGGUCAGAAUGAAAAAUGCUAUGGUCAACUGGAAAAAGUUGGGCUCAUUUCUUAGAAAAUUCGAUGGGCACUUCCCAUAUGCCCCAGGAAUUCCACUUCUACCACAUGUCCAUAAUGAUUUACUUGCAAACUUUCUUAGUUCUGUUCAUAACAGCCCCAAACUAGACACAAAUUCUAAUCAAGUAGUGAAAAGAUAAAUAAUGGAAUAUGAUUUAGAAAAAGGAAUGAACUGGAGGUUUAUGCUUCAGUGUGGAUGAAUUGCCAAAUUGUUAUACUAAUAUAGUGAAAAGCCAGACACCAAGGCUCUCUACUAUUUGAUUUCAUGUAUAUGAAAUUCCACAAAAGGCAAACUGCACUGAUAGAAAGUAAAUCAGAAGUUACAAAGGGUUAGGGGGCAGGGUAAGAAGAGGGAAUUAAACGCAG